Molecule: long non-coding RNA, 611 nt
Filed under: Bos indicus x Bos taurus (hybrid cattle)
Lineage: Eukaryota; Metazoa; Chordata; Mammalia; Artiodactyla; Bovidae
Description: lncRNA (ENSBIXG00005013586.1)
Source: RNAcentral
UUAGUCACUAAGUUGUGUUUGACACUUUUUGCAACCCCAUGGACUGUAACCCAUCAGGCUCCUCUGUCCAUGGGAUUUCCCAGACAAGAAUACUGGAAUGGGUUUCUAUUUUCCUUCUCCAGGGGAUCUUUCUGACCCACAUUGAUACCCACAUCUUCUGCAUUGGCAGCUGGGUUCUUUUCCACUGAGCCACCAGAGAAGCCCCAUAUGUCAAGCAACAAAUCAACAGAAAUUCAUGUGAAAAUCAUUGACCACCAUAUGCUGCUCCAGCUUCCUUCAGCUCCUAAUUCUAGGAGCUUGACAACUAAAGCAAACCACAGACAGCCACAGGCACUCACUGCCAGCCCUGACAAAAAAAAUCACAAAAGUCACCUCACAGGGAUUUUAUGGCUUUGGAUUGAACCACGAAGUAUUGGAUAUAUUUCAUACAAAAGCACUAUGGAAUGCAACUCAGUACAAGCAAGUCAUUCACAGGUAGUACAUCAAUACUCAGUGGUGGUCAGAAUUUGCUACCGACUACAAUUUUGCCUCAUAGAAUAAUGAAGACCUCCAUCAGGUUCUGCAGAGCUCCUUUACUUUCCUGAAAUGUAACAAAUAACAAUUAAUUAUAU